RNAcentral lists this non-coding RNA (185 nucleotides) under Desulfosporosinus youngiae. The record is from RNAcentral. Lineage: Bacteria; Bacillati; Bacillota; Clostridia; Eubacteriales; Desulfitobacteriaceae. RNAcentral also lists the same sequence under 1 other name.
UUAAUAUUGUCGUCUUAAGGUUCCUUAUGCAAGAGAGGAUCAAAAAGGGGAAGUCGGUGAAAAUCCGAUGCGGUCCCGCCACUGUAAACAAGGAGUUCUCUUCAGAAAUCCGACGAUCAAAUUACGGAUGAGGGAAGAGAAUGAUGAUAUGAAGCCAGAAAGCCUGCCUUAAGUAACAUCACAAA